UACGUAGGCCCCGAACGUUGUCCGGAUUUAUUGGGCGUAAAGCAAGCGCAGGUGGUUUAUUAAGUCUGGUGUAAAAGGCAGUGGCUCAACCAUUGUAUGCAUUGGAAACUGGUAGACUUGAGUGCAGGAGAGGAGAGUGGAAUUCCAUGUGUAGCGGUGAAAUGCGUAGAUAUAUGGAGGAACACCGGUGGCGAAAGCGGCUCUCUGGCCUGUAACUGACACUGAGGCUCGAAAGCGUGGGGAGCAAACAGG
Molecule: ribosomal RNA, 252 nt
Filed under: uncultured bacterium
Lineage: Bacteria
Description: partial 16S ribosomal RNA
Rfam family: Bacterial small subunit ribosomal RNA
Source: RNAcentral